AUACGGAGGGUCCAAGCGUUAUCCGGAAUCAUUCGGUUUAAAGGGUUCGUAGGCGGGUCAAUAAGUCAGAGGUGAAAUCUUGCAGCUUAACUGUAAAAUUGCCUUUGAAACUGUUGACCUUGAAUUACUGUGAAGUGGUUAGAAUAUGUAGUGUAGCGGUGAAAUGCUUAGAGAUUACAUAGAAUACCGAUUGCGAAGGCAGAUCACUAACAGUAUAUUGACGCUGAUGAACGAAAGCGUGGGUAGCGAACGGGAUUAGAAACCCUAGUAGUCC
RNAcentral lists this ribosomal RNA (274 nucleotides) under uncultured bacterium. RNAcentral's name for it is "partial 16S ribosomal RNA". It matches the Rfam family "Bacterial small subunit ribosomal RNA", at positions 523 to 796 of the family's 1533-position model. The record is from RNAcentral.